UACGUAGGCAGCAAGCGUUGUUCGGAAUUACUGGGCGUAAAGAGUGUGUAGGCGGUGUUCUAAGUUUGUCGUGAAAUCUCCCGGCUUAACUGGGAGGGUGCGGCGAAAACUGGAAUGCUAGAGGAUGGGAGAGGUAAGCGGAAUUCCUGGUGUAGCGGUGAAAUGCGUAGAUAUCAGGAGGAACACCGAUGGCGAAGGCAGGUCUCUGGGCAUUAACUGACGCUGAGGAGCGAAAGCUCGGGGAGCGAACGGG
This 253-nucleotide ribosomal RNA is filed under the name uncultured bacterium. RNAcentral's name for it is "partial 16S ribosomal RNA". It matches the Rfam family "Bacterial small subunit ribosomal RNA", at positions 524 to 776 of the family's 1533-position model. The record is from RNAcentral.